UAAAUAAUUAUUAGUGAUUUUCUCCUACACAGAAUAGCAUGUUUUUAAAAUAAUUCUCUUUCUUAUGUGCCGUUUGGCUGCAUUCGGCUUCAGCCAAGCGCUUGCACUCGAUGACACGGAAGGUUGUUUACAUCUAAAAACGUGGCGACAUCAGCUGAGAUAUGCAGUGGAUUUUAAUGCAAUAACCAGACAUUCAUUAAAGAAAAUAGGGAUAAGAUAAGAGACAAGGCAUUGUUUAUCCCUAAUACGAGAAUAUGAGGACAUUAUAACAGAAAAUAAAAGAAGACUGAGACGAUCUGCACUAGCUCCCUAGAUCCAUCACUGCAGUGCAUUCAGCCCAGCAGUCAAGAGUUCAAGGCUUGAAGAAUGAAUAAAUACAAAAUGCAUCCAUUUCUCCACAGGCUAUUCCUAAAGAAUUGGAACAAUGGAUUCAUUCAGGCAGCAAGUUAAUCCAUCAUGUAACUAAAGGAAAAUGAAUUGAUUUCAUCCACAAGAACAUGAAGUGAAGGAAAUAAUUUGCAGCUGCUCAGUAUUCCUUGUGCAGUCUACCUUAAUUUAAAAAGCUGUUUAUGAAAUAAAAUUUCUUCAUAAAAAAUGAUUUGACUUUUUCAUAUACAUGUACUUACUGUACAGGUUUUGAAAAGGCUAUUAAGAUUUAAUAAUCUUGACUUGCAUAUAUUUGUGUGGUGGGUGUCAAUGUCCAUGAUCAAGAUUUUAUUUCCAGCGUGUACAUUGUGUUUAUUCGUUUUUCUUAAUAAUAGUAGCUAAAAAGGAGAUUAAAGGCUCCCCUAACUGAUUCAAAACAGGAAAGUGGACCACCAUUUUAUUCUGAAGGGAGGGGGGGGGGGGUGAGGGUUGGCAAGUUUUCCCAAGUCAUUAUUUUUUUUUUUAUUUCUUUUCAUGUCAAUGAAGGACAGGUCUACUAAUAUUUAUUUCCAAUAAGAUGAAGGACAAAUUAUUUAUUUUCCUCUUCACUGAAAAAUGUCUGACAAGCAAAAAAAAAAAUAAUAAUUAAUAGGAGGGGGGAACACUGGUCUGGGGCAGAUUAUUUAUUUUUUUAUCCAGUCUGGGACAUAUUUAUUUUCAACAUUUUUGAGAUCUAACCCCCCGCCCCCUCUUU
This is a long non-coding RNA of Saccostrea cuccullata (small rock oyster), 1120 nucleotides long. RefSeq lists it as uncharacterized. NCBI's taxonomy places the organism in Eukaryota, Metazoa, Mollusca, Bivalvia, Ostreida, Ostreidae. The record is from RefSeq and is a predicted model, not a curated record. The transcript is spliced from 4 exons.